This is a long non-coding RNA of Venturia canescens, 2118 nucleotides long. RefSeq lists it as uncharacterized. Lineage: Eukaryota; Metazoa; Arthropoda; Insecta; Hymenoptera; Ichneumonidae. The transcript has 4 exons. The record is from RefSeq and is a predicted model, not a curated record.
GUGAGGUUAUGUUUCGUGUUGAUGUAUCUAUGAAAAUAUAACCUCAAAAUCAUAAGGAAAAAGACCACAUUUUGAAAACGGGUCUUAUUAUCGUGUAAAAUGCGAAGCAAGUCAAAUGGAGCCAAAAGGGAAAAACAAUGGGAAAAUGUGAUACCGGGUUAAGGAAGUCAACUUCGUUGACCAGGUUAUUGCUGCGUUCAGGACUCCACGAUGCCACUGUGCCAGAAAGGUUCAUUUGCAGAAAAAUACACACCGAAACAGAGACAUUGCAUACUCCUUUUUUCUAUGUGAACACAGGAACACAGCAGAAACUUAUAUCGGAAAGAAAAAAACAUCAUCUUUAUCCUAACCUUGUCAACAAAUGUGCAGUUGUUUCCAGGAUUAUCAGGACAAAUUAAAUCAGAAGAAAUGUUAAUUGGUGCUUUUUGAUGGAAGGGAAUGAAUGAAAUCGAAUGAGUGCUGAAGGUAUCCAUGGUAUAUUGCUUUCAGUUUCAUACAGACAGUGUCACCACAUUUUUACACAAUUCAUAGUCAAUAGCACAACAUUGGAAUAACUAGUUAACUUCCCGAAGAAUUGGUUACAAUUUCCAACCAAUUUCCCGAUAAUUUUAUUUCCGAGAGCAGUAUUUCAUGAUAUUGUUACCAAUGACAUUUUUUUAGUUGGGUUACUAUAAUUUGGUCAUUUUGACCUAAGCUGGAACUGCCAUUUUUGGAGUUGGUAAUGGUAUGUACUAUUUUUUUUAAUUGAACUAGAUUGAAGCGGAACACAUUGUUUGUUGGUAUCAGGCCUUCAAUCAUUUUCUUAUUUAAGAUUUAUUUUAUUAUUGGAAAAAGAAAUAAAAAAUAAAAAAUCAAAUAUAUUGGAGAGAAAUAUUUCUUUUGAGUUAUAAGCACUCAAAGCUGCAAGUCAUAAAAACCAAUGGGCAGUAAAGACCAGAGACAGGAAAUUGAUAGUAACAAAAGCCUGAUACUCGAAUGUUUAUGCGAAAAACUUGAUGUCGUAAAAUAAUAGUCAAAAAAUGGUAUCGAGUGAUGAAGAAUUUUUGUAGAACUCCAAAUUAUCUGAAAACACAAAUGGAAUGCGUUUUUGUAAAAGUUAUGCACACAAUGACGUCGAGCCACUGUUCUUAUCUAAUUUUUUGCUGCGUUGAACGAGUUGUAUUUGAAUUGUGCCGAUAUGAGCUCGAGAUGAAAAAAUGUAACACAGGAAAAUGGAAUUUGAUGUCCCAUGAUAUUCAACAUUUAUCAGCGUUUACAUAAUCGACAGACUAGGAAUGCUUAUAAAAAUAGUAUAGUCCAGCAGAUUAAAUCAGCUCAAGAAUAUUAUCGUUGAAUUAAUUUGUUAUCUUACUCCAUAAUACAUACUCACGAUAUUCGAGUAUACACGUGAAUAGUAUAAUAUUAAUAUCGAACUGCUUUGCGAAUGAAUGUAGUAAAGGUUUUGAUAGACUAUUUAUUUUUAAUUAUCAUUUGGCACACACGAUUGAGGCUAUUCAUAAGCGACGGUUUUUCAAAAUGUCAUUGAUAGACAAAUAGCUCUCGUUACUUUGGCUUCCCCUUCGCUUAUCAGCAUUAUUUUGUUUUCCUACGGAAUGCAAUUGGCCAUGAGAUAUGAAGAUUUGAGACCAGGUCGUAGAUUUAUUAAUUACUCUCCCAAGAAUUGACGCAUAUUUAUAGUACACUAUCACAUCCUCAUCGAAUUACAUUCUAAUAGAAUAUUUUCACUACUUUUCAGAGGCCAUCGACGAGUUUAAACAUCUAUGAUAUUUUCUGUUCGCAGCGAUAUGUUUCAGUUCGCUAACGAAGAUACGCUAUUUGACAGUUUCAACAAUUCCAUUCUUUCUCGAUAAAGAUCGACGUUUCAAACUCCAGAACAGUAGAGAAGCUGGACAGUCUGGGUUUAUAAAUUCCACUAAAAAUAUAUUGGAGUUCCGGAUCAUCGUGGCGCGUUCAGUAAAACGCCCAUGUGAUGGAACAGUUCACAUCUCAGUUGCACAGAAUAUUACCACAAAAUUUGACUAAGAAUUCGAGAGAAGAUAAAUCGCGAUGGGGCAAGGCUUCAAGCAUUUUUGUCUCGACGUACCGAUCGCAAGAUUUUCAAUAAAUUGUGAAAACCAA